This 270-nucleotide ribosomal RNA is filed under the name uncultured bacterium. RNAcentral's name for it is "partial 16S ribosomal RNA". It matches the Rfam family "Bacterial small subunit ribosomal RNA", at positions 32 to 296 of the family's 1533-position model. The record is from RNAcentral.
AAUCAACGCUGGCGGCAUGCCUAACACAUGCAAGUCGAGCGAGAAAGGGUAGCAAUACCUGAGUAAAGCGGCGCACGGGUGAGUAACACGUGGAUAACCUGCCUCGAAGUGGGGAAUAACACCGGGAAACCGGUGCUAAUACCGCAUACCAUGUCGAAGUCUGCGGAUUUUGACAUGAAAGGAGCAAUUCGCUUUGAGAGGGGUCCGCGGCUGAUUAGCUAGUUGGUGAGGUAAUGGCUCACCAAGGCUUUGAUCAGUAGCCGGUCUGAG